RNAcentral lists this long non-coding RNA (502 nucleotides) under Sparus aurata (gilthead seabream). RNAcentral describes it as "lncRNA (ENSSAUG00010018952.1)". Lineage: Eukaryota; Metazoa; Chordata; Actinopteri; Spariformes; Sparidae. The record is from RNAcentral.
GCAGCUUCGUACAAUAGAGAUACGCCUCAUUCACAUCAUCAUCAGCAGAGACAAACAGGGAGGACAAUCAGAUUCAAACAGAGCAAACACAUAUUUAAAUUGUCUAUUUCUUUUCAUUCUUUCCGUGGCUGAACAAGGAUGUCUUUGAAAAGUGCAAAGGGAGGACCAGAAAGUAGACCAUCCUCUGCUGCCAGCAUGUCUCCACGAGGAGGGAGGGGUGCACCAGCUGGCAGAUCGCCAGCGACGAGAUUCAAAAGCAAGGCCCUUCAACUCAGCCUCUCCAAGAAAUUCUGCUCAAAGUCACCCUCACCCCAGGGGAAGGGCGCUGGUGAGGAGAGUCGUCGCAACAGUAAAAGGAGCCUCAGCAACAGCUCGGCGGUGGCCGCUGCCUACAUCUCCUACCUCAAUAAGCUCUUUGGACAGGUCAGUUCAACAGCACAUUGCCACUCAUACUGCUAGAGCCCAGGUUAAACCAAUACAGUUUCAAAUUUCCUGUUUAUAU